Molecule: ribosomal RNA, 400 nt
Filed under: Priestia megaterium
Lineage: Bacteria; Bacillati; Bacillota; Bacilli; Caryophanales; Bacillaceae
Description: bacterial SSU rRNA
Rfam family: Bacterial small subunit ribosomal RNA
Source: RNAcentral
GGGGGCGGCGUGCCUAUACUGCAAGUCGAGCGAACUGAUUAGAAGCUUGCUUCUAUGACGUUAGCGGCGGACGGGUGAGUAACACGUGGGCAACCUGCCUGUAAGACUGGGAUAACUUCGGGAAACCGAAGCUAAUACCGGAUAGGAUCUUCUCCUUCAUGGGAGAUGAUUGAAAGAUGGUUUCGGCUAUCACUUACAGAUGGGCCCGCGGUGCAUUAGCUAGUUGGUGAGGUAACGGCUCACCAAGGCAACGAUGCAUAGCCGACCUGAGAGGGUGAUCGGCCACACUGGGACUGAGACACGGCCCAGACUCCUACGGGAGGCAGCAGUAGGGAAUCUUCCGCAAUGGACGAAAGUCUGACGGAGCAACGCCGCGUGAGUGAUGAAGGCUUUCGGGUCG